Molecule: ribosomal RNA, 258 nt
Filed under: uncultured bacterium
Lineage: Bacteria
Description: partial 16S ribosomal RNA
Rfam family: Bacterial small subunit ribosomal RNA
Source: RNAcentral
UAGCGUAGGGGGCAAGCGUUGUCCGGAUUUAUUGGGCGUAAAGAGCGUGUAGGCGGCCAAACAGGUCAGCUGUGAAACUCGAGGCUCAACCUCGAGGACGUCGGUUGAAACCGUUUGGCUAGAGUCCGGAAGAGGAGAGGUGGAAUUCCCGGUGUAGCGGUGAAAUGCGCAGAUAUCGGGAAGAACACCCGUGGCGAAGGCGGCUCUCUGGGACGGUACUGACGCUGAGACGGCGAAAAGCGUGGGGAGCGAACCAGG